AGGAAAUUUGAGGCCCCAGGGGCAAAAAUACAUAGAAAAUUGCCUACCCCCAAGGUCAUAAAAAAAAUAAUUUAACUUGUAAAUGCUAUGAUUUUAUGAUUUUAAAGUUCUUGAUAUAGAAAACAAUAACUAUGCUUGGAAGUUAUGCAAAAAUCAGAUGUUAGCAGUCAUCUCUACAACAUUUUAAGUAAAUUUAUAUCUCAGACUGGUAUCUGCAUACAUACAACUAUUGCAAAUAUGGCUUUGUUUGAACACUUCUAGUAUAUAUAGUAGCUAAAUUGUGUCAGAUAUAUGGUUAUAGAUGAUAUUGUUGUGACAAGAAUUCUAAAUUGACCAUUUGAGGCAGAAAAUGUGUUCUUUAAUUGACAAAUAGGCAUACAGUAAGAUGUGGACUGGAGAUAGAGGCUGGAUUGGAUACUUUAUAUAAUCUUGAAUGUUGUAAUGAUUGACUGCUAAACAUUACAUUUAUGAUAUUCUGAUAUGCUUUCAAUAUGUU
Molecule: long non-coding RNA, 496 nt
Filed under: Mytilus galloprovincialis (Mediterranean mussel)
Lineage: Eukaryota; Metazoa; Mollusca; Bivalvia; Mytilida; Mytilidae
Source: RNAcentral